UCCCCCAUAUCUUUGUAACCAUGAAAACAAUUACAGGAACUAAACAAUUGUGGUGGUGCGUGAACUAAUCAGUUCGUGAACAUGCUGCUGUGUCCUGUUUGAAAAUAUAUCAAAAAAGAGGCUUGCU
Molecule: non-coding RNA, 127 nt
Filed under: Cytophaga hutchinsonii ATCC 33406
Lineage: Bacteria; Pseudomonadati; Bacteroidota; Cytophagia; Cytophagales; Cytophagaceae
Description: Bacteroidete tryptophan peptide leader RNA
Rfam family: Bacteroidete tryptophan peptide leader RNA
Source: RNAcentral